RNAcentral lists this ribosomal RNA (485 nucleotides) under Klebsiella sp. DB13. Its description in RNAcentral is "bacterial SSU rRNA". It matches the Rfam family "Bacterial small subunit ribosomal RNA", at positions 8 to 484 of the family's 1533-position model. Lineage: Bacteria; Pseudomonadati; Pseudomonadota; Gammaproteobacteria; Enterobacterales; Enterobacteriaceae. The record is from RNAcentral.
AGAGUUUGCUCAUGGCUCAGAUUGAACGCUGGCGGCAGGCNUAACACAUGCAAGUCGAGCGGUAGCACAGAGAGCUUGCUCUCGGGUGACGAGCGGCGGACGGGUGAGUAAUGUCUGGGAAACUGCCUGAUGGAGGGGGAUAACUACUGGAAACGGUAGCUAAUACCGCAUAACGUCGCAAGACCAAAGUGGGGGACCUUCGGGCCUCAUGCCAUCAGAUGUGCCCAGAUGGGAUUAGCUAGUAGGUGGGGUAAUGGCUCACCUAGGCGACGAUCCCUAGCUGGUCUGAGAGGAUGACCAGCCACACUGGAACUGAGACACGGUCCAGACUCCUACGGGAGGCAGCAGUGGGGAAUAUUGCACAAUGGGCGCAAGCCUGAUGCAGCCAUGCCGCGUGUAUGAAGAAGGCCUUCGGGUUGUAAAGUACUUUCAGCGAGGAGGAAGGCGUUAAGGUUAAUAACCCUUGNCGAUUGACGUACUCGCGA